This 404-nucleotide ribosomal RNA is filed under the name uncultured soil bacterium. Its description in RNAcentral is "bacterial SSU rRNA". It matches the Rfam family "Bacterial small subunit ribosomal RNA", at positions 26 to 432 of the family's 1533-position model. The record is from RNAcentral.
AGAUUGAACGCUGGCGGCAUGCUUUACACAUGCAAGUCGAACGGUAACAGGCCGCAAGGUGCUGACGAGUGGCGAACGGGUGAGUAAUGCAUCGGAACGUGCCCAGUCGUGGGGGAUAACGCAGCGAAAGCUGUGCUAAUACCGCAUACGAUCUAUGGAUGAAAGCGGGGGACCGAAAGGCCUCGCGCGAUUGGAGCGGCCGAUGUCAGAUUAGCUAGUUGGUGGGGUAAAGGCCCACCAAGGCGACGAUCUGUAGCUGGUCUGAGAGGACGACCAGGCCACACUGGAACUGAGACACGGUCCAGACUCCUACGGGAGGCAGCAGUGGGGAAUUUUGGACAAGUGGGCGCAAGCCUGAUCCAGCAAUGCCGCGUGCAGGAAGAAGGCCGUUACGGUGUAAACUG